This 482-nucleotide long non-coding RNA is filed under the name Phoenix dactylifera (date palm). RNAcentral's name for it is "long non-coding RNA (PDAC_LNC021853)". The record is from RNAcentral. Lineage: Eukaryota; Viridiplantae; Streptophyta; Magnoliopsida; Arecales; Arecaceae.
GUCCUUGAAAUCGUUGCUUAUUGGAAUAGAGUCAAUUUCCCUUUCAUUAUUGAGCCCCAACUAUUGAUUCUUUCCCAUUGCUGGCAGCCAUAAGCAAUAGCACACGGCGUGGUUCCAAGGCAGCAAGAAGAAGAGCGUGAUACCCACUUCAAGUCGGUCCCAACAACACAUCCACUUCCAAACCUUGGCGCGGGGUUUGGGACCGCAAAGCCCGCGGGCCAACACUGGUGCUUUCAUUGAGAGGCUUCAACGGAGAUCGUUGGGUGAUCGGCUUCAGUCUAAAUCCACGGAAGGACGAUCUCAAGGAUAUCCCUCUAUCUAUUCAGAUCUAAACUCUUCAUUGCAUACGUUUAGAGGUCUGAAAAUCAGAUCUGAAAAUUCCUGUUAAAAUCUGUAAAAAUCUGAUUGUAAGGGGUAAGAACUUCAUGGAGUCGGGUAGUGACUCAUUCAGCCCGCAACAGCUCCUUGAAACCAUAGAAAAU